Molecule: long non-coding RNA, 288 nt
Filed under: Gossypium barbadense (sea-island cotton)
Lineage: Eukaryota; Viridiplantae; Streptophyta; Magnoliopsida; Malvales; Malvaceae
Description: long non-coding RNA (GBAR_LNC002568)
Source: RNAcentral
GAGAUAUGUGUUUAGUAACAUGGAAUGUUAGAGGGCUCGAUUCGGGUGCCAAAAUAGAAGCUGUUAAUAGACUGGUGAAAAUGCAUAGAAUUAAUGUUUGUUUUCUUCAAGAAACUAAGCUAGAAUUUGUGUCUGUUGAUUUAGUUAGAAAAAUUUAGGGGAAUGAAAAUUUCAAUUUUAUUUUUGUUGCUGCAAUUGAUAGAUCUGGAGGGCUGUUAUCGAUAUGGGAGAAGGGGAUUUUUCGGUCAUAGUUGAGCAUUGUGGGAAGAGAUUAAUUGUAGUUGAAGG